RNAcentral lists this ribosomal RNA (465 nucleotides) under uncultured bacterium. RNAcentral's name for it is "partial 16S ribosomal RNA". It matches the Rfam family "Bacterial small subunit ribosomal RNA", at positions 28 to 507 of the family's 1533-position model. The record is from RNAcentral.
GACGAACGCUGGCGGCGUGCUUAACACAUGCAAGUCGAACGGAAAGGCCCUGCUUGCAGGGUACUCGAGUGGCGAACGGGGGAGUAACACGUGGGUGAUCUGCCCUGCACUUCGGGAUAAGCCUGGGAAACUGGGGCUAAUACCGGAUAGGAGCCAUUUUUAGUGUGAUGGUUGGAAAGUUUUUUCGGUGUAGGAUGAGCUCGCGGCCUAUCAGCUUGGUGGUGGGGUAAUGGCCUACCAAGGCGGCGACGGGUAGCCGGCCUGAGAGGGUGGACGGCCACAUUGGGACUGAGAUACGGCCCAGACUCCUACGGGAGGCAGCAGUGGGGAAUAUUGCACAAUGGGCGCAAGCCUGAUGCAGAGACGCCGCGUGGGGGAUGACGGCCUUCGGGUUGUAAACGCCUUUCGCUAGGGACGAAGCUUUUUGUGACGGUACCUAGAUAAGAAGCACCGGCUAACUACGUG